Molecule: long non-coding RNA, 1059 nt
Organism: Nannospalax galili (Upper Galilee mountains blind mole rat)
Lineage: Eukaryota; Metazoa; Chordata; Mammalia; Rodentia; Spalacidae
Exons: 6
Source: RefSeq, a predicted model, not a curated record
ACCAGCUCUCUGAAUAAGGGACAGCUUAAAGAGUCAAUUCCUGUCUCUGCUCGCUGGUGUUUUGGUGACAGGCAUCAUGAGCUCAGAGACGGGAAUUUAUUCAUUCUUCCAAAUCAGCACCCUUUCAAACUACUCACCUCAGGAACCUGUCGACUCAUUCUGAUGAUGUCAGGCUAUUGUCACAAACGUGCCAGGAAUUCUUUUAGGAUUAAGACUGGAAUCUUGCAGCACAUUAUUAACAAUAAAUUCAAAGGUAAAGACAUACAGCCUCAGUCCUCCGAGCCUGAAGCAAAAAAUACAGACAUGCUGGGAUUCUAACACAGUUUUAUAUGAAGUCCGAAGCCCAAGUUCUCCUUCACUACAAAACAGUAGGAGUGAGGAAGAAAGUUCCAGAAAGCAGAGAUUUGGUGGGAGAAAUAUCAAGGAAGAAGAAAUGUUUGGAUUCACUACAUUUUUUGGGAAAAAAAGCAUACAGGAAGAAUCAGAGCACAGGGAAGGCUAUGGGGAUGAUACAGUGAAGGAAGGAGAGGGAGAGGAGGAGGAGGAAAUACGAACAUCUUGGGAAUUUCCUCUGGUUGUUUGGUGGGCAGAGUGACAGCCACAAAUACAGCACCGAAUGAGGUAAGCAUCUUGGGGGUUAUGAUUCUGAAUCCUCUUGAAGCUUCGGGACUCUGUUCAUUCAGUUGACCAAAUGGAAGAAGUCUGUAGCAUCAAUAGACAGUCAUCAGCCAGCCUUAAAUACACAGAUACUGAUCAUUAAAUACUGAAGAUACAAACAAUGGGGUAAGAAUCAGGCACAGAUUACAUGUCACUGAAAGGAGCAAAUCAGGCCAAAUUAAGUGACCUUCAGGUGGGACAUGAUACACAUUCCACACACCUGUGUGAACCCUUUAUUAAAGCAACAAUCAAAAUACAGGAUGGAUCACAUGUUGUUGUGUUUUUACUACAGUAAUAUCAACUUAUAUCUUAGUCAUUUGUUUACAAUUCCAAAUUAUUUCUUAUUUCUGCCCAAGUACAUUUUUUCAUCGUAUUUUCCAAUUUGCCAUAUUUACUCAGAAC